GUUAUAUACAGUAGAGAGGCUAUAUACAGUAGAGAGGCUAUAUACAGUAGAGAGGCUAUAUACAGUAGAGAGGCUAUAUACAGUAGAGAGGCUAUAUACAGUAGAGAGGCUAUAUACAGUAGAGAGGCUAUAUACAGUAGAGAGGUCAUAUACAGUAGAGAGGCUAUAUACAGUAGAGAGGUUAUAUACAGUAGAGAGGCUAUAUACAGUAGAGAGGCUAUAUACAGUAGAGAGGUUAUAUACAGUAGAGAGGUUAUAUACAGUAGAGAGGCUAUAUACAGUAGAGAGGUUAUAUACAGUAGAGAGGCUAUAUACAGUAGAGAGGCUAUAUACAGUAGAGAGG
This 343-nucleotide long non-coding RNA is filed under the name Salmo salar (Atlantic salmon). Its description in RNAcentral is "lncRNA (ENSSSAG00000111610.1)". Lineage: Eukaryota; Metazoa; Chordata; Actinopteri; Salmoniformes; Salmonidae. The record is from RNAcentral.